Molecule: small RNA, 59 nt
Filed under: Arabidopsis thaliana (thale cress)
Lineage: Eukaryota; Viridiplantae; Streptophyta; Magnoliopsida; Brassicales; Brassicaceae
Description: ATSL010690
Source: RNAcentral
GAUGUGUGAAGGAUUUAUAGAUGGGAAUGAAGAUGAAGAUGGAGCUAACAACAAAGGUC